GUCUGUAACUCACAGGUUGAGUUGACAACGGACAACAACCUUAGCUGAGUGAUAUUUAAAAAAAAUGUGUCAAAAUUGCAAUAUUCUUCACAGUUGAUAGAUUUGCAUUUUUAGGUGCUCUGGUGAAGACAAAACAACUCACUGAACAUUUUUGUAAAAUUAUUUAAAUGUACAGCAAAGACUGUGUGAAAGGGUGGAGCAGCUCAGGACAAACGCCUCAUUUCAACACUGACCUUAUUUUGGUUGGCAAAGGCUGUGUGGAAGGGUGGAGCAGCAACGCAUAAUUUCAACACUGACCUUACUUGGAUUCUUGGACCCUUCCUUUUCCCUGCUUAUUGGAAGAUUUAGUGUGAGCUGAGGCGUGACCGGAGUGUGAGGAAUGGCUGAGACCCCGCGAGUGUGGAGCACCUGUCCUGACUUUGAAUGGCAGCUCUUUGCCGAUUUCAAUACUAAACUGCUCACGUUUGGCACCUUUCUCCCUCAAAACCAUGUUCACAGUGAUAUUGUUGAUAGUCUCCUGGCAUCUCCCAUCUUCACAUGAUGUUGCAUUACACUGGGUUUUAAGAAAAACCUCACCAAUAAAAGCUCACUUAUCACUUCAAA
This is a long non-coding RNA of Haplochromis burtoni (Burton's mouthbrooder), 603 nucleotides long. RefSeq lists it as uncharacterized. The record is from RefSeq and is a predicted model, not a curated record. Lineage: Eukaryota; Metazoa; Chordata; Actinopteri; Cichliformes; Cichlidae. The transcript is spliced from 3 exons.